Molecule: ribosomal RNA, 253 nt
Filed under: uncultured bacterium
Lineage: Bacteria
Description: partial 16S ribosomal RNA
Rfam family: Bacterial small subunit ribosomal RNA
Source: RNAcentral
UACGAAGGGUGCAAGCGUUGCUCGGAAUUAUUGGGCGUAAAGGGUUGGUAGGUGGUCUUGUUUGUCUAAGGUGAAAUCCCAUGGCUUAACUGUGGAAGUGCCUUAGAAACGGCAAGACUAGAGUCCUAGAGGGGUUUGUGGAAUUCCCGGUGUAGCGGUGAAAUGCGCAGAUAUCGGGAGGAACACCAGUAGCGAAGGCGGCUCGCUGGGCCGUUCCUGACGCUGAGACGCGAAAGCUAGGGGAGCGAACAGG